GAUGAAUGCUAGCGGCAGGCUUAACACAUGCAAGUCGAGGGGUAUAGUUCUUCGGAACUAGAGACCGGCGCACGGGUGCGUAACGCGUAUGCAAUCUACCUUUUGCAGAGGGAUAGCCCAGAGAAAUUUGGAUUAAAUACCUCAUAGUAUGUGAGAAUGGCAUCAUUUUCACAUUAAAGUCACAACGGCAAAAGAUGAGCAUGCGUCCCAUUAGCUUGUUGGUAAGGUAACGGCUUACCAAGGCAACGAUGGGUAGGGGUCCUGAGAGGGAGAUCCCCCACACUGGUACUGAGACACGGACCAGACUCCUACGGGAGGCAGCAGUGAGGAAUAUUGGGACAAUGGGCGCAAGCCUGAUCCAGCCAUGCCGCGUGCAGGAUGACGGUCCUAUGGAUUGUAAACUGCUUUUGUACAGGAAGAAACACUGGUUCGUGAACCAGCUUGACGGUACUGUAAGAAUAAGGAUCGGCUAACUCCGUGCCAGCA
This 486-nucleotide ribosomal RNA is filed under the name uncultured bacterium. RNAcentral describes it as "bacterial SSU rRNA". It matches the Rfam family "Bacterial small subunit ribosomal RNA", at positions 28 to 513 of the family's 1533-position model. The record is from RNAcentral.